GAUGAACGCUAGCGGCAGGCUUAAUACAUGCAAGUCGAGGGGUAACAGGUCUUCGGAUGCUGACGACCGGCGAACGGGUGAGUAACACGUACGUAACCUACCUUUAACUGAGGAAUAGCCCCGGGAAACUGGGAUUAAUACCUCAUAACAUAAAUUUCUGGCAUCAGUGAUUUAUUAAAGCUCAGGCGGUUAAAGAUGGACGUGCGGCCCAUUAGGUAGUUGGUGGGGUAAUGGCCUACCAAGGCUCUGAUGGGUAGCCGAGCUGAGAGGCUGAUCGGCCACACUGGAACUGAUACACGGUCCAGACUCCUACGGGAGGCAGCAGUGGGGAAUUUUGCGCAAUGGACGAAAGUCUGACGCAGCGACGCCGCGUGAGGGAUGAAGGUCUUCGUGAUCGUAAACCUCUGUCAGGAAGGAUUAACGUACUUUGGUUAAUACCCAGAGUGCUUGACUAACU
This 457-nucleotide ribosomal RNA is filed under the name uncultured bacterium. RNAcentral describes it as "bacterial SSU rRNA". It matches the Rfam family "Bacterial small subunit ribosomal RNA", at positions 28 to 479 of the family's 1533-position model. The record is from RNAcentral.